This is a non-coding RNA of Podarcis lilfordi (Lilford's wall lizard), 66 nucleotides long. The record is from the annotation of a GenBank genome assembly. NCBI's taxonomy places the organism in Eukaryota, Metazoa, Chordata, Lepidosauria, Squamata, Lacertidae.
GCGGCUCAGUGGCAGAGCAUCUGCUUUGCAUGCAGAAUGUCCCAGGUUCAAUCCCUGACGUCUCCA